UCAGGCGGACCAGAGUAGACCAGAAAAUUGGAGCUGUUCCGUAAUUUUACGGAGAACGACAGAGAGCCGGUCCGUUGACGGUCACGUUUGGAGUAGUCAUGGAGAAUGUGGAACCAUUCUCAUUAAUUAACAUAACAACAGAGUUGGUCCAUCGGACGUAUGUGAGCGGACCUGUGCAGAGCGGAGCAGUAACGAAGGAUGUGGAAUUUAGGGGUUACGAGAAUUACUCAAGAGUUUUUCAAUAAAUAGGAUUGUGACUUUAUAACACCUGACAGUGUCAUUUAUUUAAAAAAAUCGAUAUCAGCCAAAAUUUGGAACGGUAGGUCAGGCUUUUAAAAGAUCGGUGAUUGGCCAGACAGCUGCAAUCGGUGCAGUUUAAGGACAACAAGGAGUGACCAUAACAAACCCCCGAUCUUAAUCCUAUAGAAAAAUUGUGGGCAGAGCUAAAAAGGUGUAUGGGAGCAGGGCAGUGUACAAACCUGACUCUGCAUACCCAAAACAUUUGACCAAUAAUCGUACCAAAAAAUUUUAUUCUUCUAAAUCAUACUGUCAUGCUCUGCCCUUUUGGAGUGUAGCUUUUGUUUACCUUGUUCGUUUAUAGGUGUUUUUGUUGUUUACUUCUGUUGGUUUUUACCUUCUAGCUUCUUGUGUUCAUUUUAGUUCAUUUAUUUAUCUGUGUUCCUGGGUUUUGUCAUUUUGUAUUAUUUCUUAAGUUUCUGUCCUCAUGUUUGUUUUUCUCCCUCAGCAGCCCAGUCACGUUAGUGUUAUCAGUCACCUUCCCUCAGUUCCCCUGCAACCCGGUUCCACACCUGUUUCAUGUUCCAUCUGAUUACCUGUCACCCAUUUUCAUUGGUUCACACUCCUCUUCCCUCAGUACAUAUGUUUGGUUAUUUUCAUUGUUCCUCGCUCGGUCCUCCUGUUUACUUCUAUGCUGAUCCCUGUUCCAUGUCAUUGUUUUGAUCCCAUGGAAACUCGUUGCACAGGGAAAGGUCCAUAAAGAGACAGAUGAUCAAGGCUGGUGUGGGAGAACUUCACUAGGCUGCACAGAGUCCAGACCUCAACCCCAUACAACACCUUUGGGACAAAUAAGAACGCAAGCUGCAAGCUGAGCUUUCAUCAGUGUCUGACCUCACAAACGUUGUUCUGGAAGAAUGUUCGAACAUCCCCAUAAACACUCUUAAACCUUGUGGAAAGACUUCCCAGCAGAGUUGAAGCUAUUAUAGCUAUAAAGGUGGGCCUGGAUCAUAUUAGACCCUAUGGAUUAAGAUGUCAUUAAUGAUCAUACUGGAUGUGUGUGAAAUCAGAGGAGGAUCAAGGAGUAUUCCUUGAUGGAAGGAUGGUUAAACUGCAUUGCUGUGUAGAAAGUUCUCAACCAAGAGUAUUUUUAAGAGUUCCUGUCUAUAAAACGUCAUCAGUUUAAGGCAAGUGGAUUUUCUAUGUUUUAUCCAUGCUAGUUUCCAUUUCAACUAUCUCUGUGUCUGUGAUCUUGUUUCCUGUGCUGAUACUCGAUCCUUUAUUCAAUGAAGGCUCUGGAAUGUGUAUUUAUUUCACCACAAAAGGAACUGUAUAAAAAAUACUUAAUCUGACGUAUUUGUUUUAAAGCUAUAAUGUCACAGGUUAAUGUUCCUUUUUUCUGAUUUUCAGCACCUUGCUUCCACUUCAUCAAUAAUAAAUGACCUUCAACUAAA
This is a long non-coding RNA of Girardinichthys multiradiatus, 1688 nucleotides long. RefSeq lists it as uncharacterized. The transcript has 2 exons. The record is from RefSeq and is a predicted model, not a curated record. Lineage: Eukaryota; Metazoa; Chordata; Actinopteri; Cyprinodontiformes; Goodeidae.